RNAcentral lists this long non-coding RNA (1443 nucleotides) under Podarcis muralis (Common wall lizard). RNAcentral's name for it is "lncRNA (ENSPMRG00000004854.1)". The record is from RNAcentral. Lineage: Eukaryota; Metazoa; Chordata; Lepidosauria; Squamata; Lacertidae.
CUGGGCAGUGAAGCCAUAACUGAUCUAGCAAGGAAAGCAAAAGAUCAGCAAUUUAUUUUACUUUCAGAAUAACAGAUAUUUAAUUAUCUGAAAUGACUGAUAUCUAAAUCUCUGCUGGCUGAGGCUGAUGGGAGUUUUAGUCGGAAACAUCUGGAGGUGUCAAGUUGGUAAAGGCUCAGUUUUGAAAAAGGGAUGUAGGAUCCAUAGCUCAGGAUUUUCCCAUUUUAAAAAAUAUCCCCGCUUGACCCCUCCAAAGAGAAAGUAGUAUUUUACGCAGCUAAAAUUCUUUUUCCCUCCAUGCUCUCCCAACACUUACCUGUGGGAUUUUGUAGAUGCCUGACAAGGCUGAAAUCACUUUUGAGAUGAAAGUGUUGCUUCUUUCAAGAACAGCCAGCAGGGGAUUCUGUUCUCCACAGUGAUAAUUGGGAAUAUUGCAUCCACUGCCUGCAAGCAGCUCUAGCAUGGCGUCCGAAGUCAUCCUUGCAUCGAAAUAGUUCUCAUAGAUGUUGUAGCCCAGAGUAAUGUUGGGUAAGAGCCUGAGAUCCUGGUUGAUCUCUUGGAUGGUGAAAAGGAAGGACAACAUGUACCAGGUGAACCUAGGUGACUCCCUGCAAUAAAUGAAUUAUUUAAAAAGAGUGAAACAUAUUCAUAUUAAUGGGAGGGAGGAAACAUUAUAUGAUCCACAAAGAUUAGUAUUUAUUUAUCUUAUUGCUUUAAUAUCAAACCUUUUCCUGUCCAACAUAGAACAAAUAUUUGGAGAUUUCUGCUCCAUGACCGGAGCUUUGAUGCAAACAGCACACAGAGCUGUUCAACAGUGGAACAGACUCCCUCUGAAGGUGACCAUGUGUCAUGGAUGCUUCAGUUUGACAGGCUGAGGGCAGGGGAAGUGUCUUGCAUUUUACUGAGCUGCAAGCUGCUCUGGGAGCCUUUUUACUGAAGAGGGGGGUAGAAGUGAUUGUGAGAAGAAUGGACAGCAAAGCAUGCUGGGAAGAAGGAGGUGAGGGAAAUGAAACCUAAUAAAGGAUAAUUUAUCAAUAAAGCUAAUAAGCAAAACCGAACAAAAGACACCUUGAGAUUUAUUUAUUUGGUUAUACACUGGAAAAACGAGUAAAUUUCAAAUUAAUCCGGAACCCUUCCGCAACACCUUCAGAUUUCUUUAUUUAGUUAUAGAUUGGAAAAUGGGUAAUUUUCAAUUACAGGAAACAGGCUACUUGUUUGUAAGAUGAAUGGGCAGCAAAGCAAAGAAGCUCUGUCAGCAGCACCUGGGAGAGGGGAGAGAAUGUGUGGCAUCUGCCAUGCAGGCAGGUCUCUGCCCCAAGGAAGCUACAAUCAGAGACUGACAAGAGGGAAGGUCUGCAGAUCCUGCACUGAUUGCCUUCUCUGCUUCCCCAAGUUUGCCUGGUUCUCUUUACAGCCACCCAGGCUGGCGGUCACCACUCCUUC